GUGGACGCCAGUCUGCGUGGAGCCGACCUUGAAAUACCACCCUUUAAUGUUUGAUGUUCUAACGUGGACCCGUAAUCCGGGUUGCGGACAGUGUCUGGUGGGUAGUUUGACUGGGGCGGUCUCCUCCUAAAGAGUAACGGAGGAGCACGAAGGUUGGCUAAUCCUGGUCGGACAUCAGGAGGUUAGUGCAAUGGCAUAAGCCAGCUUGACUGCGAGCGUGACGGCGCGAGCAGGUGCGAAAGCAGGUCAUAGUGAUCCGGUGGUUCUGAAUGGAAGGGCCAUCGCUCAACGGAUAAAAGGUACUCCGGGGAUAACAGGCUGAUACCGCCCAAGAGUUCAUAUCGACGGCGGUGUUUGGCACCUCGAUGUCGGCUCAUCACAUCCUGGGGCUGAAGUAGGUCCCAAGGGUAUGGCUGUUCGCCAUUUAAAGUGGUACGCGAGCUGGGUUUAGAACGUCGUGAGACAGUUCGGUCC
This 474-nucleotide ribosomal RNA is filed under the name Salmonella enterica. Its description in RNAcentral is "partial 23S ribosomal RNA". It matches the Rfam family "Bacterial large subunit ribosomal RNA", at positions 2164 to 2637 of the family's 2925-position model. The record is from RNAcentral. Lineage: Bacteria; Pseudomonadati; Pseudomonadota; Gammaproteobacteria; Enterobacterales; Enterobacteriaceae.